UUCCAAUAACUUCUUCAUACUAACAUAGAAUUUAUCAAGCAAUAUGCGUAAAUUAUAGCCGAAAAAGUUCUCUUUUCAACCCUAGUUUUCAAUCUUCUAUUGCUUUUUGUACGCAUGCAUUAUAUACAAAUGAGUGACAGUAGGUACAAAAUCAACACCCUAACUUUAAGCGCCCAUAUCAUUUUCACAUAAACUCUAAAUGAUUCAAAAUUUGCACCAAAACCGUAGUAAAAAAUCUAAACGUUCUGAACCUAGCCUCCAAUACUCAAAUGCCUCCGAAAAAUUAACC
Molecule: long non-coding RNA, 289 nt
Filed under: Physcomitrium patens
Lineage: Eukaryota; Viridiplantae; Streptophyta; Bryopsida; Funariales; Funariaceae
Description: long non-coding RNA (PPAT_LNC013132)
Source: RNAcentral